GACUCUCAACAAUGGAUAUCUCGGCUCACAUUGAUGAUGAACAUAGCGAAAUGUGGUACUUGGUGUGAAUUGCAGAAACCCGUGAACCAUCGAGUCUUUGAACGCAAGUUACGCCCAAAGCCAUUAGGCCGAGGGCACGUCUGCCUGGGCGUCA
This 154-nucleotide ribosomal RNA is filed under the name Nicotiana sylvestris (wood tobacco). RNAcentral's name for it is "5.8S ribosomal RNA". It matches the Rfam family "5.8S ribosomal RNA". From Rfam's summary of the family: 5.8S ribosomal RNA (5.8S rRNA) is a component of the large subunit of the eukaryotic ribosome. It is transcribed by RNA polymerase I as part of the 45S precursor that also contains 18S and 28S rRNA. Lineage: Eukaryota; Viridiplantae; Streptophyta; Magnoliopsida; Solanales; Solanaceae. The record is from Rfam by way of RNAcentral.